This 524-nucleotide ribosomal RNA is filed under the name uncultured bacterium. RNAcentral describes it as "partial 16S ribosomal RNA". It matches the Rfam family "Bacterial small subunit ribosomal RNA", at positions 28 to 523 of the family's 1533-position model. The record is from RNAcentral.
GACGAACGCUGGCGGCGUGCCUAAUACAUGCAAGUCGAACGAAGCUGUUUUAACUGGUGCUCGCACCGACUUAAACAACUGAGUGGCGAACGGGUGAGUAACACGUGGGUAACCUGCCCCAAAGCGGGGGAUAACAUUUGGAAACAGAUGCUAAUACCGCAUAAUCACAGAAACCACAUGGUUUCUGUGUCAAAGAUGGUUUCGGCUAUCACUUUGGGAUGGACCCGCGGCGUAUUAGCUAGUUGGUAAGGUAAUGGCUUACCAAGGCAAUGAUACGUAGCCGAACUGAGAGGUUGAUCGGCCACAUUGGGACUGAGACACGGCCCAAACUCCUACGGGAGGCAGCAGUAGGGAAUCUUCCACAAUGGACGAAAGUCUGAUGGAGCAACGCCGCGUGAGUGAAGGAGGUUUUCGGAUCGUAAAACUCUGUUGUCAGAGAAGAACGUGUGCAAGAGUAACUGUUCGUGCAGUGACGGUAUCUGGCCAGAAAGCCACGGCUAACUACGUGCCAGCCGCCGCCGUAA